GUGGGGAAUAUUGGACAAUGGGCGCAAGCCUGAUCCAGCCAUGCCGCGUGAGUGAUGAAGGCCCUAGGGUUGUAAAGCUCUUUCACCGGUGAAGAUAAUGACGGUAACCGGAGAAGAAGCCCCGGCUAACUUCGUGCCAGCAGCCGCGGUAAUACGAAGGGGGCUAGCGUUGUUCGGAAUUACUGGGCGUAAAGCGCACGUAGGCGGACAUUUAAGUCAGGGGUGAAAUCCCAGAGCUCAACUCUGGAACUGCCUUUGAUACUGGGUGUCUUGAGUAUGGAAGAGGUAAGUGGAAUUCCGGGUGUAGAGGUGAAAUUCGUAGGUAUUCGGAGGAACACCAGUGGCGAAGGCGGAUUACUGGUCCAUUACUGACGCUGAGGUGCGAAAGCGUGGGGAGCAAACAGGAUUAGAAACCCCUGUAGUCC
This 425-nucleotide ribosomal RNA is filed under the name uncultured bacterium. Its description in RNAcentral is "bacterial SSU rRNA". It matches the Rfam family "Bacterial small subunit ribosomal RNA", at positions 354 to 796 of the family's 1533-position model. The record is from RNAcentral.